GAGGAUUUAGGCGAGAGAUUAUCAAGUUAGGUCUUGUGAACAUUCUGGUGGAAGAUUCUCAAAUUUUGAUCAACCUACUUGGUGGAGAGAAACCACAAUCAUGGCGUCUUCUUUCACGAAUGAAAGAUAUGUGGAGUUUGAUGGUGAAUGUUCGGGUUGCUCAUAUUCGGCAUGCUUUGCGUGAAGCCAUUAUUGUUGCAGAUGGUCUAGCUUCUUUGGGACAUUAGAAGUCGAAUACAAGUAUUUUGGUUACGAGUCACAACCAAAUUGCGGUUGUGAUGAUGUUCAGGCCGAAUGAAUUGUGACUUCUUGUUGGUUGCGACAUCUGCAUUGAUACUAUACACGCUAAAGCUAGGCCUGGUAUUUUGGACCCAAUCCGUUAAUCCGACCCGACUCAACCCGUUAAUAUUUGUAUUUGGGUGGAUGCUUAACAGGUCGGGUUGCUAACGGAUGAACCCGUUAACAAUCCGUUAAAUAACGGAUCACUUUGGGUCAACCCGUUAGACCCGUUAGGACCCAUUAACAUCCGUUAGCACCGGUUAGUUGAAGAUAUUUUAGUAAUUUUAGUAAAGUCUUAAUAAUAAAAAAUAAACUUUAUGCAAAAAAAAAAAAUUAAUUGUUAACGGGUGAUAACGGGUCGGGUUCGGAUGAUCCGUUAGCUUAACGGGUCAGGUUGAACCUGAUCCAAACUUAAUAAACCCGAUCCGUUUACAGGUCUAGCUAAAGCGUUAAUUAAUUAGCAAGUUUGACAUUGUUGAAUCAGCUCAGCUCAUUGUUUAAGGUCAUCGUUGAAAGAUCACGUCUUCCGAAAAUGAACCAACGACUUAGUAAGAAAGAAAUCCAUCUUCUUGGGAGGAAUUAAGCUGAUGGUCAACGUUACUACAUGUUGUUUGACUUGAGAAGAUGAUGAUAUGGUGCACGCUGUCCUAGAAUAAUUACCCAACUUUCAGACUAAAUCUCUCCACUAAAGAUUUUUCUCAUGUAUCAAAAUAUAGUUGGUAAACCAUGUCAUCAUAUUUCGACCAAAAAAAAAAAAAUCACGUCAUCAUAUAAAUGGAGAGAAGAUAUAUUUUACAGCAUUUUUUUCAUUUAUAUUAUGACCCAUAAUGUAUCGACUUAUGUUCCGGAUACAUCUAUUUCAUCGGACAACAAAAUCUUCCCUCCGAAAUUUUUCAGCACAAACACAAAUCAAGCGACAAAAAAAGCGAACACAAACCAAUGAGCAUGCAAAGACACAAAUCCAGGAAAUAAUGGGCAGGCCCAGUCCUACAUUAUUUCCACGCUUGAGCCUGGAGCUGAGCAAGCUCAUAAGAAUACAAACCGUCAGUCUAGUAAUGCUAAGAACG
RNAcentral lists this long non-coding RNA (1346 nucleotides) under Malus domestica (apple). RNAcentral describes it as "long non-coding RNA (MDOM_LNC007766)". Lineage: Eukaryota; Viridiplantae; Streptophyta; Magnoliopsida; Rosales; Rosaceae. The record is from RNAcentral.